Molecule: ribosomal RNA, 749 nt
Filed under: uncultured Myroides sp.
Lineage: Bacteria; Pseudomonadati; Bacteroidota; Flavobacteriia; Flavobacteriales; Flavobacteriaceae
Description: bacterial SSU rRNA
Rfam family: Bacterial small subunit ribosomal RNA
Source: RNAcentral
GAUGAACGCUAGCGGCAGGCCUAACACAUGCAAGUCGAGGGGUAUAGAGAGCUUGCUUUCUAGAGACCGGCGCACGGGUGAGUAACGCGUAUGCAACCUACCUUUUACAGGGGAAUAGCCCGGAGAAAUUCGGAUUAAUGCCCCAUGGUUUAUUAGAAUGGCAUCAUUUUAAUAAUAAAGAUUUAUCGGUAAAAGAUGGGCAUGCGUAUCAUUAGCUAGUUGGUGUGGUAACGGCAUACCAAGGCGACGAUGAUUAGGGGUCCUGAGAGGGAGAUCCCCCACACUGGUACUGAGACACGGACCAGACUCCUACGGGAGGCAGCAGUGAGGAAUAUUGGUCAAUGGAGGCAACUCUGAACCAGCCAUGCCGCGUGCAGGAUGACGGUCCUAUGGAUUGUAAACUGCUUUUGUACGGGAAGAAAUGUUACUACGUGUAGUAAUUUGACGGUACCGUAAGAAUAAGGAUCGGCUAACUCCGUGCCAGCAGCCGCGGUAAUACGGAGGAUCCGAGCGUUAUCCGGAAUUAUUGGGUUUAAAGGGUUCGUAGGCGGUUGAGUAAGUCAGUGGUGAAAUCUUACAGCUUAACUGUAAAAUUGCCGUUGAUACUGCUUGACUUGAAUAGUAUGGAAGUAAUUAGAAUAUGUAGUGUAGCGGUGAAAUGCUUAGAUAUUACAUGGAAUACCAAUUGCGAAGGCAGAUUACUACGUACUUAUUGACGCUGAUGAACGAAAGCGUGGGUAGCGAACAGG